This 253-nucleotide ribosomal RNA is filed under the name uncultured Eubacteriales bacterium. Its description in RNAcentral is "uncultured Clostridiales bacterium partial 16S ribosomal RNA". It matches the Rfam family "Bacterial small subunit ribosomal RNA", at positions 524 to 776 of the family's 1533-position model. The record is from RNAcentral. Lineage: Bacteria; Bacillati; Bacillota; Clostridia; Eubacteriales.
UACGUAGGUGGCAAGCGUUGUCCGGAAUGACUGGGCGUAAAGGGAGCGUAGGCGGCGCAGUAAGUUAGGAGUGAAAUCCCGGGGCUCAACCCCGGAACUGCUUUUAAAACUGCUGUGCUUGAGUGAUGGAGAGGAAAGCGGAAUUCCUAGUGUAGCGGUGAAAUGCGUAGAUAUUAGGAAGAACACCAGUGGCGAAGGCGGAUUACUGGACGACAACUGACGGUGAGGCGCGAAAGCGUGGGGAGCAAACAGG